This 441-nucleotide ribosomal RNA is filed under the name uncultured bacterium. RNAcentral describes it as "partial 16S ribosomal RNA". It matches the Rfam family "Bacterial small subunit ribosomal RNA", at positions 338 to 795 of the family's 1533-position model. The record is from RNAcentral.
CCUACGGGCGGCAGCAGUGGGGAAUAUUGCACAAUGGGCGAAAGCCUGAUGCAGCAACGCCGCGUGAAGGAAGACGGUUUUCGGAUUGUAAACUUCUGUUCUUAGUGAAGAAUAAUGACGGUAACUAAGGAGCAAGCCACGGCUAACUACGUGCCAGCAGCCGCGGUAAUACGUAGGUGGCAAGCGUUGUCCGGAAUUACUGGGUGUAAAGGGAGCGUAGGCGGGAAGCCAAGUCAGCUGUGAAAACUACGGGCUUAACCUGUAGACUGCAGAUGAAACUGGGUUUCUUGAGUGAAGGAGAGGUAGGCGGAAUUCUGGGUGUAGCAGUGAAAUGCGUAGAUAUUGGGAGGAACACCGGUGGCGAAGGCGGCCAACUGGGCAUUAACUGACGCUGAGGCACGAAGGUGAGGGGAGCAAAAAGGAUUAGAUACCCGAGUAGUC